This 440-nucleotide ribosomal RNA is filed under the name uncultured bacterium. RNAcentral describes it as "partial 16S ribosomal RNA". It matches the Rfam family "Bacterial small subunit ribosomal RNA", at positions 338 to 795 of the family's 1533-position model. The record is from RNAcentral.
CCUACGGGUGGCAGCAGUAGGGAAUAUUGCUCAAUGGGGGAAACCCUGAAGCAGCAACGCCGCGUGGAGGAUGAAGGUUUUCGGAUUGUAAACUCCUUUUGGUAGAGAAGAUAAUGACGGUAGCUAACGAAUAAGCACCGGCUAACUCCGUGACAGCAGCCGCGGUAAUACGGAGGGUGCAAGCGUUACUCGGAAUCACUGGGCGUAAAGAGCGCGUAGGCGGGAUAGCAAGUCAGAUGUGAAAUCCUAGGGCUUAACCAUAGAACUGCAUUUGAAACUGUUAUUCUAGAGUAUGGGAGAGGUAGGUGGAAUUCUUGGUGUAGGGGUAAAAUCCGUAGAUAUCAAGAGGAAUACUCAUUGCGAAGGCGACCUGCUAGAACAUAACUGACGCUGAUGCGCGAAAGCGUGGGGAGCAAACAGGAUUAGAUACCCUUGUAGUC